RNAcentral lists this ribosomal RNA (424 nucleotides) under uncultured cyanobacterium. RNAcentral's name for it is "bacterial SSU rRNA". It matches the Rfam family "Bacterial small subunit ribosomal RNA", at positions 356 to 795 of the family's 1533-position model. The record is from RNAcentral. Lineage: Bacteria; Bacillati; Cyanobacteriota.
GGGGAAUUUUCCGCAAUGGGCGAAAGCCUGACGGAGCAAUACCGCGUGGGGGAGGAAGGUUCUUGGAUUGUAAACCCCUUUUCUCAGGGAAGAAGAAGUGACGGUACCUGAGGAAUCAGCAUCGGCUAACUCCGUGCCAGCAGCCGCGGUAAUACGGAGGAUGCAAGCGUUAUCCGGAAUGAUUGGGCGUAAAGCGUCCGCAGGUGGCAGUUCAAGUCUGCGGUCAAAGACUGGGGCUCAACCCUGGAAAGGCAGUGGAAACUGGACAGCUAGAGGAUGGUGGGGGUAGAGGGAAUUCCCAGUGUAGCGGUGAAAUGCGUAGAGAUUGGGAAGAACACCGGUGGCGAAAGCGCUCUGCUAGACCAUAACUGACACUCAGGGACGAAAGCUAGGGGAGCGAAAGGGAUUAGAUACCCCUGUAGUC